Etheostoma spectabile (orangethroat darter) is the source of this 183-nucleotide long non-coding RNA. RefSeq lists it as uncharacterized. The transcript has 3 exons. The record is from RefSeq and is a predicted model, not a curated record. Lineage: Eukaryota; Metazoa; Chordata; Actinopteri; Perciformes; Percidae.
ACAAUUUGUAGUCCGGGAAAUCUCUGCAGCCCCACAAGACUUUAUUUUAGAAUGGUUUGACACAUGUUUGGCCUUUAACAAACAUUGCAGCCCCCCUGCAAUUUGAAUAUUGCAGUAGUUCAUUUUGCGAUUUUGAUAAAAUUGCGAUUAAUUGUGCAGCUUUAUUAGCCUUACAUCGUUCAG